RNAcentral lists this ribosomal RNA (503 nucleotides) under uncultured bacterium. RNAcentral's name for it is "bacterial SSU rRNA". It matches the Rfam family "Bacterial small subunit ribosomal RNA", at positions 501 to 1006 of the family's 1533-position model. The record is from RNAcentral.
CUACGUGCCAGCAGCCGCGGUAAUACGGAAGGUCCGGGCGUUAUCCGGAUUUAUUGGGUUUAAAGGGAGUGUAGGCGGUCUGUUAAGCGUGUUGUGAAAUUUAGGUGCUCAMCAUUUAACUUGCAGCGCGAACUGUCAGACUUGAGUACACGCAGCGCAGGCGGAAUUCAUGGUGUAGCGGUGAAAUGCUUAGAUAUCAUGAGGAACUCCGAUCGCGAAGGCAGCCUGCGGGAGUGUUACUGACGCUUAAGCUCGAAGGUGCGGGUAUCGAACAGGAUUAGAUACCCUGGUAGUCCGCACAGUAAACGAUGGAUGCCCGCCGUUGGCGCGCUGCGCCUGCGGCCAAGCGAAAGCAUUAAGCAUCCCACCUGGGGAGUACGCCGGCAACGGUGAAACUCAAAGGAAUUGACGGGGGCCCGCACAAGCGGAGGAACAUGUGGUUUAAUUCGAUGAUACGCGAGGAACCUUACCCGGGCUUGAAUUGCAGUCGCUGCCCACAGAGA